RNAcentral lists this ribosomal RNA (253 nucleotides) under uncultured bacterium. RNAcentral's name for it is "partial 16S ribosomal RNA". It matches the Rfam family "Bacterial small subunit ribosomal RNA", at positions 524 to 776 of the family's 1533-position model. The record is from RNAcentral.
UACGUAGGGGGCAAGCGUUGUCCGGAUUUAUUGGGCGUAAAGAGCGUGUAGGCGGCCAGACAGGUCCGUUGUGAAAACUCGAGGCUCAACCUCGAGACGUCGACGGAAACCGUCUGGCUAGAGUCCGGAAGAGGAGAGUGGAAUUCCUGGUGUAGCGGUGAAAUGCGCAGAUAUCAGGAAGAACACCCGUGGCGAAGGCGGCUCUCUGGGACGGUACUGACGCUCAGGCACGAAAGCCAGGGGAGCAAACGGG